UACGUAGGGGGCAAGCGUUAUCCGGAAUUAUUGGGCGUAAAGAGCUCGUAGGCGGUUUGUCGCGUCUGCCGUGAAAGUCCGGGGCUCAACUCCGGAUCUGCGGUGGGUACGGGCAGACUAGAGUGAUGUAGGGGAGACUGGAAUUCCUGGUGUAGCGGUGAAAUGCGCAGAUAUCAGGAGGAACACCGGUGGCGAAGGCGGGUCUCUGGGCCGAUACUGACGCUGAGGAGCGAAAGCGUGGGGAGCGAACAGG
RNAcentral lists this ribosomal RNA (253 nucleotides) under uncultured bacterium. Its description in RNAcentral is "partial 16S ribosomal RNA". It matches the Rfam family "Bacterial small subunit ribosomal RNA", at positions 524 to 776 of the family's 1533-position model. The record is from RNAcentral.